RNAcentral lists this ribosomal RNA (764 nucleotides) under Lewinskya rupestris. RNAcentral's name for it is "partial 26S ribosomal RNA". It matches the Rfam family "Eukaryotic large subunit ribosomal RNA", at positions 39 to 791 of the family's 3401-position model. The record is from RNAcentral. Lineage: Eukaryota; Viridiplantae; Streptophyta; Bryopsida; Orthotrichales; Orthotrichaceae.
CAUAUCACUGAGCGCAGGAGAAGAAACUAACCAGGAUUUCCCUAGUAACGGCGAGCGAACCGGAAAGAGCCCAGCUUGAAAAUCGUGGCGCCCCGGCGCCUCGAAUUGUAGUCUGGAGAAGGUCCCUCUGCGGCGCGCCGGACCCAAGUUCCCUGGAAAGGGACGCCAUCGAGGGUGAGAGCCCCGCUGAUUCCGGAGUGCGCCGCUCCACGAGGACCUGUCUGCGAGUCGGGCUGUUUGGGAAUGCAGCCCUAAGCGGGUGGUAAAUUCCAUCCAAGGCUAAAUAUUGGCAAGAGACCGAUAGCGAACAAGUACCGCGAGGGAAAGAUGAAAAGGACUUUGAAAAGAGAGUUAAAAAGUGCUUGAAAUUGCUGGGAGGGAAGCGAAUGGAAGCUGCGGGUGCGCCCCGGUUGGAUGUGGAACGGCUGUCAAAGGCUGGUCCGCCACUCAACGCGGGGCGCUGGUCAGCGUGGGCCAUCGCGGCGGGACAAGAGCGGGGAUUCGCUUCCCGCCGAUGCCGCUGCGGUGGCCGAGGAACGAAGCGCGCGCUCUUCAUGGGCGUGGGACUUGUCCCAACUGCGCGCUCGGGACGCUGGCGUAUUGAGCUCUUCAUCCGACCCGUCUUGAAACACGGACCAAGGAGUCUAACAUGUAUGCGAGCCGGUGGGCGGCAAACCCAUUGAGGCGCAAGUAACCUGACAGGUGGGACCCCGACCGCAAGGGAGGGAGCACCAUCGACCGACCGUGAUCUUCUGUGAAGGGUC